Non-coding RNA from Brassica napus (rape), 119 nucleotides. Lineage: Eukaryota; Viridiplantae; Streptophyta; Magnoliopsida; Brassicales; Brassicaceae. The record is from Rfam.
GGGUGCGAUCAUACCAGCACUAAUGCACCGGAUCCCAUCAGAACUCCGCAGUUAAGCGUGCUUGGGCGAGAGUAGUACUAGGAUGAGUGACCUUCCGAGAAAUCCUCGUAUUGUACCCC